UACGUAGGGUGCAAGCGUUAAUCGGAAUUACUGGGCGUAAAGCGUGCGCAGGCGGUUUUGUAAGUCUGAUGUGAAAGCCCCGGGCUCAACCUGGGAAUUGCAUUGGAGACUGCAAGGCUUGAAUCUGGCAGAGGGGGGUAGAAUUCCACGUGUAGCAGUGAAAUGCGUAGAGAUGUGGAGGAACACCGAUGGCGAAGGCAGCCCCCUGGGUCAAGAUUGACGCUCAUGCACGAAAGCGUGGGGAGCAAACAGGAUUAGAAACCCUGGUAGU
This 271-nucleotide ribosomal RNA is filed under the name uncultured bacterium. Its description in RNAcentral is "partial 16S ribosomal RNA". It matches the Rfam family "Bacterial small subunit ribosomal RNA", at positions 524 to 794 of the family's 1533-position model. The record is from RNAcentral.